UACAUGGGGUGCAAACGUUGCUCGGAAUUAUUGGGCGUAAAGCGCACGUAGGCGGUUUGUUAAGUCGGAUGUGAAAUCCCUCGGCUCAACUGAGGAAGUGCAUCCGAAACUGGCAAGCUUGAGUACGAAAGAGGGUCGCGGAAUUCCCGGUGUAGAGGUGAAAUUCGUAGAUAUCGGGAGGAACACCGGUGGCGAAGGCGGCGACCUGGGUCGAUACUGACGCUGAGACGCGAAAGCGUGGGGAGCAAACAGG
RNAcentral lists this ribosomal RNA (253 nucleotides) under uncultured bacterium. RNAcentral describes it as "partial 16S ribosomal RNA". It matches the Rfam family "Bacterial small subunit ribosomal RNA", at positions 524 to 776 of the family's 1533-position model. The record is from RNAcentral.